AUGUGCAGUGUUCACAUUCCAUGGCAAACAGGCCGUCACAGGAGUGGAACUUCAUCAAACAAUGUACCUAAACGGUUCCACACCACCGUGGGCGGACCCACAAGGUAUGCCGGGCCCAGCUAUACGCCCGAGUGCCUGGUAUCCGAUUCGGCCAGCGACGAGUCGACGACUCCUCCGCCCGCCACGACUCCUCCGCCGCCGCACCAGGGCCAGCGCGUGGGACUGCAGAAGAAGGCCUUCUUCGAGGAGCACUACGCCAGGAAGAAGAAGCGAAAGAGCGAGGACCACGGCGCCGCCGCCUCCGCCGAUGACGGCGAUCUCGAGGCGGCCGAGGAGGAGGAUGGUGGUUCCGCCGCCUCGUGGCUGUCUUCUUCGUCGGCGGAGUCCUCCUGCAUGACGGACCAGGCACCGGCGCCGGGGGAUGAGGAGACGUGCGGCGGUGAGGAAACCGGCGUGGUGAACUGCUGUGGUCCCCGUGCCAGUGAUGAGCCGGUGGGAGUGGCCGAGGAGCUCGCGGCCGUCACAGAUGCGGUUAGUCCUUCUUGCAGGAUGGAUGCAUCCGUGGAUGCGUUGUGCCACGGGGAGGGCGGCAAUGAGCAAGUUGCUGGAGCUGUUUUGGAAUUGCUGGAGAAGAAAGAUCUGUGCUCGAGUAAUUUGGUGUCUGUUGAUGGCGUAGACAAGCAACCGCUGAAGGAGAGCUCUAUUAUUAAUCAGGAUAUCACGGAUUCAGCCAAGAAAAGGAGGCUCCAGAUGUCAUCCCUGCUUCAGAAGCCAACCAAAUUCAGAUCUCCCCCUUCAGGAAAGAAAGGGCAGUCUUCAUCAGUGAAAAGACGGUCGCCUCUGCAUUCUGCCAAGGAGAACACCUCCCCUCCUGGUACGGACAAUAACAUGCAAGUAGCCACUUCAGUCCCCCAAAAAGGUCCACAUUAGCGGCAUUGCAAAUGCUAAGAGUUUCACGAGAUGUGAAACGGGAAAUGCUGCCUCAGGCUCAAGCAAUCUUGGUAUUACAAUUGCUGAAAGGAUUAGCCAGUUGGAGUCUGCAAGUAGGCCUGUGGCAACCACUCAGCUUGAGGAAUUCGGGCCACCAAGAAAAGCAUUUUCCCCAAUUUUGCCAGAAAUAGCUCUAGGGACAUCUCAAGUGGAUUGACAAAGGUACCAUUUGAAAGCCAAAAGCUAUAUGAAUAUCAUCGACUGCUGUAGGACUUGAUCAGAAGGAAAUGAAUUUAUAUUGUGAUUUGUUAUUGUUUCUAGCUAAAUCUUUGAAUUUAAGACUUAUCAUGUUAUUUAGUGCAUGUGGUAUUCCGAAUUAGAAUAUGAUUUUACCAAAUUGUAAAUGGUUUUAUCGAAUUGCAUAAGAUUUUUUUCAGCAUACCCUGUGGU
Setaria italica (foxtail millet) is the source of this 1380-nucleotide RNA transcript. RefSeq lists it as uncharacterized. Lineage: Eukaryota; Viridiplantae; Streptophyta; Magnoliopsida; Poales; Poaceae. The record is from RefSeq and is a predicted model, not a curated record. The transcript has 4 exons.